RNAcentral lists this ribosomal RNA (408 nucleotides) under bacterium enrichment culture clone ALO1_GLFRUDD03F2WE6. RNAcentral's name for it is "bacterial SSU rRNA". It matches the Rfam family "Bacterial small subunit ribosomal RNA", at positions 9 to 417 of the family's 1533-position model. The record is from RNAcentral.
GAGUUUGAUCAUGGCUCAGAUUGAACGCUGGCGGCAUGCCUUACACAUGCAAGUCGAACGGCAGCACGGGAGCUUGCUCCUGGUGGCGAGUGGCGAACGGGUGAGUAAUGCAUCGGAACGUAUCCUGGGAGUGGGGGAUAACGUAGCGAAAGUUACGCUAAUACCGCAUAUUCUGUGAGCAGGAAAGCGGGGGACCUUCGGGCCUCGCGCUCUUGGAGCGGCCGAUGUCGGAUUAGCUAGUUGGUGAGGUAAAGGCUCACCAAGGCGACGAUCCGUAGCAGGUCUGAGAGGAUGAUCUGCCACACUGGAACUGAGACACGGUCCAGACUCCUACGGAGGCAGCAGUGGGGAAUUUUGGACAAUGGGGGCAACCCUGAUCCAGCCAUGCCGCGUGAGUGAAGAAGGCCU